UACGAAGGGGGCUAGCGUUGUCCGGAUUUAUUGGGCGUAAAGAGCGUGUAGGCGGCUUGGUAGGUCUGCUGUGAAAACUCGGGGCUCAACCCCGAGACGUCGGUGGAAACCACCUGGCUAGAGUCCGGAAGAGGAGAGUGGAAUUCCUGGUGUAGCGGUGAAAUGCGCAGAUAUCAGGAAGAAUAUCCGUGGCGAAGGCGGCUCUCUGGGACGGUACUGACGCUGAGACGCGAAAGCGUGGGGAGCGAACAGG
This 253-nucleotide ribosomal RNA is filed under the name uncultured bacterium. RNAcentral's name for it is "partial 16S ribosomal RNA". It matches the Rfam family "Bacterial small subunit ribosomal RNA", at positions 524 to 776 of the family's 1533-position model. The record is from RNAcentral.